Macaca mulatta (Rhesus monkey) is the source of this 1322-nucleotide non-coding RNA. The record is from RefSeq and is a predicted model, not a curated record. NCBI's taxonomy places the organism in Eukaryota, Metazoa, Chordata, Mammalia, Primates, Cercopithecidae.
UUUGUAAUCCUUUUACCUGAACAGAAACAGUAACAAAAACAAAACAUUGCAAAGAGGUUGUAUUUUAGAGAGAGUGAGAGAGACCAGCCACUGUUAUGCUUCAUAGUGGGUUCUAUGGAUAAUGGUGAAGCUAUUUAUAUUUCAUUUUACUAUCCUAUUUCCACUCCUUUUGCUGUGUUUAAGAAGCUAUAGAUUGCCUCCAAAUGCUGAGUUCCUGGGCAGUUGUUCUUUUUCCUCUGUCAAAAUGUUUUAAAGGAUAGUCAACAACCGAAGAAGUCAAUUCAAGUUGAAAAGAGCCUUUAUUGAAUUCCCAGUGAUCACAGGACAGGGCCAGACCUGGGGAAGAUUAAAAGAUGAGGAACCCUAAUUCAAGUUUCCUGGAGAUCACUGUCUGGUUGGGGAGAUAGGAAUGUGGUUUAGUGUGGUAGGCCUAGUCUAUCUGCAUUCAAAUCAUGGUUCUGUCACUCCAGCCAGGUCCUUGGGCAAGUUCCUGAAUCUCUCUGUCCCUCAGUUGCUUCAUCUGUGAAAUGGGAAGGAUCAUGAUAGUACCUACCUAAUAGUCAUGUUCUGAUGACUAAAUGAGCUAGUAUACAGGAACUUCUCAGAAGAAUGUCUAGCACUCAAAAAAAUGUCAAAGUUUUCUUUCUUUUGUAUUUUAAUUUGUGUCUGGUUUUGAUGUUUCCCCAAUACUUCUCAGGUAUACCUUGGGAUCAAAAAUCAGCAUGGUGAUUUUUGGCGAUGGUCAUUGUGAUGGUUAAUAUGAAUUCUCAACUUGACUGGAGUGAAGGAUGCAAAGCAUUAUUCCUGGGUGUGUCUGUUAACAUCUGACUGGGAGAGGCAGACCCACCCUCAAACUGGGUGGGCGCCGUCUAAUCAGCUGCCAGCACGGCUAGGAUUAAAGCAGCCAGAAGAACAUGGAAGCACUAGACUGGCUGAGUCUUCCAGCCUCAUCUUUCUCCUGUGCUGGAUGCUUCCUGCCCUGGAACAUCGGACUCCAAGUUCUUCUGCUUUUGGACUCUUGGACUUGCACCAGUGGUUUGCCAGGGGCUCUCAGGCCUUCGGCCACAGACUGAAGGUUGCCCUGACGGCUUCCCUACUUUUGAAGUUUUGGGACUCGGACUGACUUCCUGGCUCCUCAGCUUGCAGACGGCCUAUUGUGGGACUUCACCUUGUGAUCGUGUGUUUUUAUGUCCUCAGAAAGGUGAUGGUUAAAAGUAAAAAACAAGCAAUACCUGCAGCCAAGAAGAACAGUAGACAAAUUUCUGAAUCCAAUACGGUUUCAUCCUUCAGGGAUGAGGAAACUGACGCUCAGGGAAAUGAAG